This 624-nucleotide unclassified non-coding RNA is filed under the name Hevea brasiliensis (rubber tree). Lineage: Eukaryota; Viridiplantae; Streptophyta; Magnoliopsida; Malpighiales; Euphorbiaceae. The record is from RNAcentral.
AAUUAAGUGGUCACAUUGAGUACCGAGUCAAAAUUUGAACAUUUAUUUGAGCAUUUGAUCAUUUAUAAAUGAAAUUGUAUAAAAUUUAUUUCAUUUAUAAAUAAAUAUUAAUGGAUUUAGAUUUUUAUAUGCUUGUAUCAAAAUAAAACCAUUCAAUUUGAUUAUAUUUAAGAACCAUAACCACUAAAAAAGAAACAAAACCAUGGCAUUUUAUUUGGAUCGGGUUGAAUUAAAUCUGUUUGUUUUUCUUUUUACAUAUUCCUAAUUUUUCUAACUUUUUCAUCUUCUUUUUCUUUUUCUUGGUCUUUUAUAAUUUUUUCUUCUUUUUCCCUUUUUUUUUUCUUGAAUUCUUUUAGCCAUAGCUCAGCCAAGGCCCUGAAUCUUGCAACAAGUACUUGGUGAACUCUGAUAUUAAGGAAAGAAAUGCUGCUGGCAAUCCAUAUAUUACGGAUAGUUCAAACGGAGAAGCCAAUCUACCCAGCCUCUGAAUCAUCCCCAGGCAGCUCUGCAAUCUUUGUGGAGCUGGCAGAAGUGAGUUGAAAUGUAGAGCUAUUAUACUGCUGCACCACCAGGACAGAUGCCGAAGUUGAAAAAUCAUUAGAAGUCAAGAGGUUGCCUACAGGA